Gopherus evgoodei (Goodes thornscrub tortoise) is the source of this 2402-nucleotide long non-coding RNA. RefSeq lists it as uncharacterized. The record is from RefSeq and is a predicted model, not a curated record. Lineage: Eukaryota; Metazoa; Chordata; Testudines; Testudinidae. The transcript is spliced from 2 exons.
UGCUUACUUUGCAUAAAAGCCUUUGGUGAGGGACUUUGUUCAAGGCUUUCUGUAAGUCCAAGUACACUAUGUCUACUGGGACACCCUUGUCCAGGUGCAUGUUGAUACCUUCAAAUAAUUCUAAUAGAUUGGACUGGCAUGAUUUCCUUUUACAAAAGUCGUGUUGACUCUUCCGCAACAUAUAGCAUUCCUCUACAUGUCUGAUAAUUCUGUUCUUUACUAUAGUUUCAACCAGUUUGCCUAGUAUUGAAGUUAGGCCUACCGACUUGUAAGUGCCAGGAUUGCCUCUGGAGCCUUUUUAAAAACAUAAGAGUUACGUUAGCUAUCUGCCAGGUAUCUGGUACAGACGCUGAUUUAAGCAAUAGGUUACAUACAACAGUUAGUAGUUCUACUGCAGUUUCAUAUGAGUUCCCUCAGACCCUUGGGGUGAAUUCCAUCCAGUCCUAGUGAGAUAUUACUCUUUAUCACUUUCUUCCAAAACCUUCUCUACUGACACUUCAGUCUGGGACAGUUCCUCAACUUUGUCACCUGAAAAGCAUGGCUUAGAUGUGAGAAUCUCCCUCACAUCCUCUGCAGCAAAGACCAAUUCUAAGAAUUCAUUUAGCUUCUCCACAAUGGCCUGAUCUUCCAUGAGUGCUCCUUUAACUUCUUGACUGUCCAGUGGCCCAAUUGGUUGUUUAGCAGGCUUCCUGCUUCUGAGGUACUUAAAGUAACAGCAAAAAAAAAAAAAAGUUUUGUCUUUUGCUAGUUGCUCUUCAAAUUCUUUUUUGGCUUGCCGUAUUUAUGUUUACACCUGACUUUCCAGAGUUUAUACUCCUUUUUAUUUUCUUCAGUAGGAUUUGACUUCCAAUUUUUAAGACAAAUUUUUGUCUCUGACCAUCUCUUAUACUCUGUUUAGCACUGGUGGCUUUUUUUUGGUCCUCUCACUGUUUUUAUUUGGGGAAUACCUUUAGUCUGAGCCUCUGUUAUCAUAGUUUUUAAAAGUAUCCAUAGAGCUUGCAGCAUUUCACCUUUGUGACCGUGUUCCUUUUAAUUUCUGUUUAACUUGGGUCUGGUCUACACUAGACGGUUAGGUCAAUGCAAGGCAGCUUACAUCAACCUAGCUUUGGAAGUGUCUAUGCACCACUUCCCUGAAUGGCGUAGGGUCAAGGUCGAUGUAGUUAAGUCGACAGAGGGUCAGUGUUGACACUGUUACUUACUUCGACUGUUACUGGCCUCCAGGUGAUGUCCCACACUAACAGCUCUGGUCACCAGUGUGUACUCUGCUGCCCACGGGCCAGGUGGACAGGAAGCUGUCCCUCCCCUUUAAAGCCUCGCAAUUUCUUUACAUUCCUUUUCCUGGUUGUCUGGCUUGGUGAGCACACCAGGCAGCUCUCCACUGUUGUGUGUAACUGCCCACUGACUAUGCCAGCUAUAUGCUGCAGACACGCUCCUGCCUGGAAUACACAGGAGGUGUUGGAUCUCCUGGGGCUGUGGGAAGAAGAGGCUGUGCAGGCACAGCUCCAAUCCAGCCAUAGAAAUGUUGACCUCUGUGAGCAAAUGGCUCAGGGCAUGUGGGAGAAGGGCUACAAGAGGGACUGGCAGCAGUGCUGUGUGAAAGCCAAGGAGCUCUAGCAGGGGUACCAGAAGGCUAAAGAGGCCAACAAUCCAUCUAGUGCUGAGCUGCAGACCUGCCACUUUUACAAAGAGCUGCAUGCCAACCUCAGAGAAGACCCCACCACCACCUGCAAGAGCCCCAUGGAUACUUCAGAGGAACCACAAGCCCUCACCAUGAACAGCGAAGAGGAGGGGGUGGACAAGAAAGAGGCGAAGGAGUAUGGGGGACAGGUGACCAGGGGAUCCAGCUGUGCAGUGAGGAAGGAUCUGUUUGACUCCAGUGCACUGCUGCCAGUCCCAACAGCUGCACCUGAUGCUAUUGUGGCCAGGAGGGUCUCCCUCUUCACACCUGCCAAGCUUCUAAGCCAGAUGAGUGGGAGAAAGAUAACAUGUUCCAGGAGAUCCUGCAAGCCUGUGCUGCUACAGAGAAUGAGACCAGGGCCUGGAGGAUCACCCUUGCAGCCGGCCUGGAGAAGGAGAGGGGAAUGUACAAGGACAUAGUGGGGCUUCUCAGGCCACAAACAGAUGCUGAAGACUCUGGUAGACGGGCAGGUCCAAGAAUCCCAUGCUCAUAUCCCUCUGCAGCCCAUGGAGAACUCAAUGUUGGGACCCCCCUCCCAACAUUUCAUGUGCCAUGAGCAAUUGCUGCACUACCACUCCCCCCCAGGGAACAUGAAAGACAAUCAGAGCUGCCCAUGCACUGACUUGUGGAAGCCGGGGUUGGUGUACGUGCAUCUGAAAUAGAAAUGACUGCACUUUCCCCUUCAUAAGUUGUUUCCUUAAUAAAUUAAGUUCUAAAUGUUUUA